GCGGACGUGGGGGGCUUGGACGCGCGGCCUUCACUCUGGCCGCUUGGACCGCUCCGAGCCACUAGCGAGACCGACCCGCCCCAUC
Molecule: non-coding RNA, 85 nt
Filed under: unclassified sequences
Description: c-di-GMP sequence
Rfam family: c-di-GMP-II-GAG riboswitch aptamer
Source: Rfam by way of RNAcentral